RNAcentral lists this long non-coding RNA (346 nucleotides) under Eutrema salsugineum. Its description in RNAcentral is "long non-coding RNA (ESAL_LNC000484)". Lineage: Eukaryota; Viridiplantae; Streptophyta; Magnoliopsida; Brassicales; Brassicaceae. The record is from RNAcentral.
GGAUUUGGAUACGGAAGCCUUGGUAUCCAAUUGUAGAAACAAAACUUCAUACAACGGAAGCAUUGGGUUUUAUGAUGUUGUGUAUAAUUACAAGGUUUAGUCAAGAGUUACUAACCAAACACACAAUUUUCAUCGAAAAAAGAAAGAAUACGGAAAAGAAAAAUAAUGGACUUAAUCAUCCAUUAGCGAUUAAGACUUUACUUUGUAAAGCAUCGUCAAUUUCACUUUUCAUGUUAUGUCAUUCUUAAUAUAUGGCGCAUAUAUUUGCAUAUGUAAUAAUUUGUCUUCCGGAAGUUUUGUAUAUUGACUUUGUAAUCAAUAUUUUGUAUAUUGUUUUUGUAACCGU